This is a long non-coding RNA of Clupea harengus (Atlantic herring), 822 nucleotides long. Lineage: Eukaryota; Metazoa; Chordata; Actinopteri; Clupeiformes; Clupeidae. The record is from Ensembl.
ACAUGAGGGGGGAAAAGUCCCUCCUGUAAGCCGUGUAUCUUCUGAAUCACUGGUUCCUGUCACUGCCUAACAAGGAACCCCUGCUAAGCAGGAGGGGAAUUCUGUGAUAACCGAUUAAUCUUGAUAAUUGCCUGGGGGAUUUUACUGUGCUCUAAUUUCAACUUCCAUGCAAAUUACUUUCCUGAUCUAUUACGAGGUGGCACCACGUUGAAACUGUGACUUGCUGUGUAAAGGCAGAGAACAGGACACGGAAAGUCCCUCCGAAUUUGAACUUUCCAGAAUGAAUCAGCUGUGACGUUCCUUUUGCUUUCGUGCAUUCAGGAGCAGCUGUUUUGGCUGGGAGGGCGCCCGUUUGCUGAAUGGAAGGGAUGAACUUGCCUCUUGGAUACUUGGCUCCAAAUCCAGCCCACUGCCAUCACCCUGGACUGCGUUCCAGGGAAGAAAUUGAGAUGGCAUUGGGACCCGAUUCAUCAUAACACACUCAUGUAAACCUGCUGGGUCCAGAGGCCCCGAUCCUUGGGAAGAGUGAGAAACGGGAGCAAUGCUGCCCCCACAGUCACCACUCCCCCACACAUCCCAGCUAACAUUGCUCCGCAUCAACACCCAUGCGAUUAAGACAUUGAGGGCCUGACAAGGGGCCCUCCUUUGCUGACAAUAAAACAAUUAAGCCGUUUGCUGGGCAAGGGACAGGGAGUUCCGUCAACCUGUUCCUACAAAUGAGUCUCCUGUGGGAUGCUGAAUGAUUCUCAUUCCCCCCGCAGUCAAGCCGAACAGCUGGAGGUGCUGGCGGAAGCGGGAUUUGCGCUUGCUACCCGGCCAUCU